Amphiprion ocellaris (clown anemonefish) is the source of this 1303-nucleotide long non-coding RNA. RefSeq lists it as uncharacterized. NCBI's taxonomy places the organism in Eukaryota, Metazoa, Chordata, Actinopteri, Pomacentridae. The record is from RefSeq and is a predicted model, not a curated record. The transcript is spliced from 3 exons.
UCAUCAUGUAUCUGGAGAUCAGAUGUCUCCGUAGACCAAAAAUCUGCUGUAGCAGUCACUCUGGAAUAGUGAUGAACAGACACCUGCCCAUCACAAUCAGUCACAAUCAGUCACAAUCAGUCACAAUCAGUUGCAGUCAGUCACUUCCAUAUUAUUGGACCUUCUCGCAGUCACUCUCAACACCUCAGCCAAUCACCUCUCACACCUGGAAUCCACCCCUGUUCCUUUGUUUGAAGCCCAUCAGCUUCAUUCAGUCACAGACAGUCACUGAACAGCAGGAUCACCCCACAGCACUCAUCUCUGGAAACCAUUCACUUUUUACAAGCCUGGAAACCUGGAAAUCACAGCAUCAAAGAGGACGCCUGCAACUGCCUUUGGAUUUCUGGAUGUCACCCACCUGAACCCACAUUGUGCUGAACAUUGAAUAUUGGUUAGGCUUGAACUGAUGGCGAGCUACCCUGGACCAAACUGGACAACCGUCUGACAUGUUUCACCCCUUCACCCACCCCACUCAUUGGCAGGUCUAAAGCCCCACAGCUUCAUCCCUUCCAGAAUGGUGUGGUAGGACUUUGUUGGACUUUGUUGGAUUUGUUGGAUUUGUUGGACUUUGUAAGAAUUUGUUGGAACUGUUUAUUGAAUCAGCUUAUUGUUCACUUCAACCAGGAAUUGUCAGUGGAGUAUUGAUAAUUGAACUAAGCACAUAGUCACUUUAUAUUGUUGACAGUGAAGCUGCUUAUUCUUAAUUGGAUUGAUUGAAGGACAGGUGAAGGUUGAUUUUUUUGAUUUUCUGAUUCUGAUUUUCUGUUAUUGUUUUGAGUUUUGUAUUAUUAUUUUGAUCAUUGUUGUUGCCUUGAUAUAUUCAAGUAUUUUCUGUUGAUUAUUUUUAAUAAAUUACCGGUAAACAAAUUUUUGUGUUUGUCUUCAUUAAUUUUCACACAGCUCCCAGAGCCGAACCUUAUCCUAGCCCGUAGCCCAUAGCCCAACUAAUGGUAGUCUAUUUCCAUGUGCAAGUGCUACACUGCUCUCCGGCGGCUCAAGACGAUCACGAUGAUCAUCAUCAUCAUCAUCAUCUUCUGCUCUUGCACAGCCGAAUGUAAACAACCUCAGAAACCAGUUGGACUUCUUCUUUUUCUUCUUCCUGUCUGUCUUUUUCAGCUGUGGAAGCUCAUCUUCUUCUUCUUCUUCUUCUGCGUUGUUUUCAGCAGGAGCCUCGUCUGCUGUGGUUUCUCCAGUUGAGGAACAUCUGGUUUCCGUCUCCGUUACCUGGCCGGUCUGGGAGACGUCCACUUUAUUCUCCUCUAAC